UAGAAUCGAGGUGUUUCUUUCCUACAGGGCAGAUCCACAGCAGACCAGGACAGGAGAGAGUGGAGUCUGAAGAACACAUUAUGUGUCACAAUAAUUACAGACGCGGACGACAAAAGAGCAAUCUUAUCAGUAUGAAUUUCUAGAAUCAGUCCAGCCACAGCCCUGACCCCAGUGAACUACACUCGUGUGAUGACGAGUAACCUUGCCUUAGGCCGGUGGUUCCUGGUCCCCUGGCUGAGGCUGUCCCUCACGACACCCCUCCGCCUCCCCUGGACGUCAAGGGAGGUUCCGCCUGUGCUGUCAGAUAGCUACUGGACUCCCUACAUUGUGGGGGUCAGCCUUCCCUGUAGCUCAGUUGGUAGAGCAUGGUGUUUGCAACACCAGGGUUGUGGGUUUUAUUCCCACGGGGGGCCAGCACAGAAAAAAAGGAAAAAAAAA
Molecule: transfer RNA, 438 nt
Filed under: Salmo salar (Atlantic salmon)
Lineage: Eukaryota; Metazoa; Chordata; Actinopteri; Salmoniformes; Salmonidae
Description: lncRNA (ENSSSAG00000084424.1, ENSSSAG00000113820.1)
Rfam family: tRNA (bases 348-405)
Source: RNAcentral